GUAAAUGUCUUUGUCACUUUGCUAUUUCAUUUAGAUUUCUAGUCUUAACACAAUCUAUUUCUCUCUCCUUGUUUUAUUUCAGACCAGUAGGGAAGAGGAAGUUCUUAGAACAUAGACUCACUCCUUCUGGUGCUCCGUGGCUCCCCAAGUCUUGGGGUGGUAGCGGCUUAGUUCCCACGCCAUGCAGAUUCAAGGGGACACUGGAUGCCAGGUGACCCUGGCUUCAGGAGUUGGCAAGGGAUCUGCCCUAUGCCAAGCAGGAGUUCAGUUGAGCUCUAACAGACCUAGUUUCUGGGCUUUAUAAGACCAAUCAUCCCGACUGGUGCUGGAAGUCAUGGCUGAGGCUUCAGAAAAGGAGAAGACCAAGUGUUAAAAGAUUGCUUCUGUUCCAGCUGUGAAUAAGCUAUUAACUGCCUUGAGCCUUUAGGAGGUUAAACUACAGGAUCACCAAGACCCUUCUAAUUGUAAAAUUCAGAGCUAGAACAAAACCAGUUCUACCUCUGAGCUUCAUUUUCACCUUCCUGCCAUCAUGAUCCCUCUCCAGGCUGCCAUUCCAGGUUCCCUCUGUCCACCAUGUGGUCUACAUGUUAACCACACCCGUAUCUGAGCUGGUGCAUGCAAUGCUGCUUCUGCCUGGAAUUUUGUCCCUGCCUUUGACCCCUGAGCACUCCCUCAACACUCAAAUCAAGAAUCGCCAUCUUGAGAAGCUCUCUCCCCUUCCCAAAGCAGAAUGGUUAUUUCUGCCUUGGUGCUUUUAGAGAACCAUUAAAACAGUUACCAAAUCA
Molecule: long non-coding RNA, 785 nt
Organism: Manis pentadactyla (Chinese pangolin)
Lineage: Eukaryota; Metazoa; Chordata; Mammalia; Pholidota; Manidae
Exons: 2
Source: RefSeq, a predicted model, not a curated record